GAUGAAGAACGCAGCGAAAUGCGAUAAGUAAUGUGAAUUGCAGAAUUCAGUGAAUCAUCGAAUCUUUGAACGCACAUUGCGCCCGCCAGUAUUCUGGCGGGCAUGCCUGUUCGAGCGUCAUUUCAACCAUCAAGCCCCCCGGCUUGUGUUGGGGACCUGCGGCUGCCGCAGGCCCUGAAAACCAGUGGCGGGCUCGCUAGUCACUCCGAGCGUAGUAAUACAUCUCGCUCAGGGCGUGCUGCGGGUUCCGGCCGUUAAAAGCCUUAUUUACCCAAGGUUGACCUCGGAUCAGGUAGGAAGACCCGCUGAACUUAAGCAUAUCAAUAAGCGGAGGA
This 335-nucleotide unclassified non-coding RNA is filed under the name soil metagenome. RNAcentral describes it as "partial contains 5.8S ribosomal RNA, internal transcribed spacer 2, and large subunit ribosomal RNA". The stretch from base 1 to 120 matches the Rfam family "5.8S ribosomal RNA", at positions 35 to 154 of the family's 154-position model. The record is from RNAcentral.